RNAcentral lists this long non-coding RNA (2058 nucleotides) under Homo sapiens (human). Its description in RNAcentral is "HSALNT0138006". Lineage: Eukaryota; Metazoa; Chordata; Mammalia; Primates; Hominidae. The record is from RNAcentral.
GUGGAGGUGGAUGUUUGAGAUGUUAAGUGUAUGGAGGUGGAGGAAUUGCUGAGAGGGCAGAGCGGAACUGCUGAAGAUAGCAUCCAUGUGAUCUUCCUCACCUGUUCCCAGAGCUGGGCACUCCUUGGAGAAGCUUUCCUGUGGACACAGACACCCACUUGCAGUGUCUAUGGUCACCCUGCCUUGAGAAAAGGGGCCUGUCAGAAGUAUUGACAACCCCCUUAACUUGUCCAUCUAGGAUAUGACACCACAGAUGUAAACUGGCAAUGGAGGAUCGCUAUGCUUUUAAUUACAAUCAUCAGAGAAGAUCAUAAUGCAUAAAUAGAAAGUUACAAUAAUCAAAGAAGAUCGUGAUGUAUAAAUAGAAAAAUCAUGAUCCUGGAAAAAGAGAUAACUCAAAGUAGAGAAAAGAAUUUUAAAAACUGAAGAUUCUUAGAGAUACAAGAAGAUGCUGUAUUAGUCUAUUUUCACACUGCUAUAACGAACUACCUGAGACUGGGUCAUUUAUGAAGAAAAGAUGUUUAAUUGACUUAUAGUUCCACACUACUGGGGAGGCCUCAGGAGACUUACAGUCUUGGUGGAAGGCCAAGGAGAAACAAGGCAUGUCUUACAUGGUGAUGAGAGAGAGCGAGAGCAAAGGGGAAGAGCCACACGCUUAUUAAACAACAAGGUCACAUGAGAAUUCUAUCAGGAGAACAGCAAGGGGGAAGUGCAGCCCCAUUGAUUCAAUUACCUCCCAGCAGGCUACCCCCAACACAUGGGGAUUACAAUUCCACAUGAAAUUUGAGUGGGGAUACAGAGCCAAACCAUAUCAGUCGCACAUACAUAAAUGAGAACAAUCUAUUAUAAUAAAUGAUUAUUUAGGAAAAAAAGUAGUUGUGGAAAUAAGAAUUUCAAUACAUGACUGAAUAAAUUAAUAUUCAAUUAAUUUCAAUAAAUGACUGAAAAAAUGACUAAAUAUUAGAAAAAUUAGAGUAAAAGUCAAGCUGAUGAUCUUGACAAAAUCAAGGAACUCUCCCAGGAUGUAGAGAAAAAGGGCUGUUAAAAAAAGUAUAUUAAAAAAGGCAUGAGAUGUAAAAGACUGAAGAGGUUCAGCAUCCCUCCCUAUAGAGUUUCUACUGGGGAUGGGAUAAUAAUGAUAACGGUAAUACAAAUCUUGAAGUCAAUUUCACUAAACCAAAGAAAAACUUAAGUAUGCUGAUAAAAAGUGACACUGAGUUCUGAGAAGGAUAAAUGAAAAUAAAUAAAUAAAUAAAUAAAUAAAUAAAUAAAUAAAUAAAUAAAAGUCCUAUCACCAAAUACAACUUGUGAAAAUCGAGAACACUAAAGGGGUAGAAAACAUCCUGACUGCUUCCAGAAAGGAGGGAGAGAAAACAAAUGAAACCAACCAACCAACCAACCAACCAACCAACCAACCAUCCAUCCAUCCAACCAAACAACCGAUCAGACAAACAAAAGCAUGUUCCUUGAAAAUGCAUGAGAAUCAAUAGAGCACGGAAGAUAUAAGUACAAUUACAGAAAUGAAUGUUGAAAACCUUGACAAUGUAAAACUUAAUCUUUUAAGGGAAAAGAAGUGGAAUGUAGUUCAAGUUUUAAAUUCCUCAUCUUUCAAUCUAAUAUUGACGAAAUAGGAUUUUACAUGUGUUCAGUGAAGAUAAAAGUGACUAUCUCAGAGAAGCAGAAUUCGUGAGAUAGGGGAGAACUUUUCCUUUUCUUUUUAGAGUUGGGUAAUAGUUUUUUUUUUAACCAUUUGCAGAUAUUAAUGAUUCAAAAAGAAUCACCAGGAGGCAGUCUCCUUACACAGAGGUUCAGCCCUUCUGCUCAGUCAUGUUUUGUGGCCAUGUGCCCUGGUUAGAGCCUCUCCCAGGCCUGAACGGUCAGGUUGGCCUCAUGUCCUUGUGGACUAGGAACUUGGGGUGCUUUGCUUACUUCCCUUGUGGAAGUGCAUGGUAUUUGGAAGAGCAGUGAGUCAAGAGGGAAAAAUUGGGGCGCUAACUCACUCGGUUUGUUAUUAAUAGUUUAACAGUUCAGGCGCAGUGGCUCACGCCUGUAAUCCCA